This 427-nucleotide ribosomal RNA is filed under the name uncultured Chromatiaceae bacterium. Its description in RNAcentral is "partial 16S ribosomal RNA". It matches the Rfam family "Bacterial small subunit ribosomal RNA", at positions 355 to 774 of the family's 1533-position model. Lineage: Bacteria; Pseudomonadati; Pseudomonadota; Gammaproteobacteria; Chromatiales; Chromatiaceae. The record is from RNAcentral.
UGGGGAAUAUUGGACAAUGGGCGCAAGCCUGAUCCAGCAAUGCCGCGUGUGUGAAGAAGGCCUGCGGGUUGUAAAGCACUUUCAGCGGGGAAGAAAAGCCCUGGGCGAAUACCCUGGGGUCUUGACGUUACUCGCAGAAGAAGCACCGGCUAACUCCGUGCCAGCAGCCGCGGUAAUACGGAGGGUGCAAGCGUUAAUCGGAAUCACUGGGCGUAAAGCGCGCGUAGGCGGCUCGCUAAGUCGGAUGUGAAAGCCCCGGGCUCAACCUGGGAACUGCAUUCGAUACUGACGGGCUCGAGUCCGGUAGAGGGGGGUGGAAUUCCAGGUGUAGCGGUGAAAUGCGUAGAGAUCUGGAGGAACACCGGUGGCGAAGGCGGCCCCCUGGACCGAGACUGACGCUGAGGUGCGAAAGCGUGGGGAGCAAACA